This 292-nucleotide ribosomal RNA is filed under the name uncultured bacterium. RNAcentral describes it as "partial 16S ribosomal RNA". It matches the Rfam family "Bacterial small subunit ribosomal RNA", at positions 505 to 796 of the family's 1533-position model. The record is from RNAcentral.
GUGUCAGCAGCCGCGGUAAUACGUAGGUGGCAAGCGUUGUCCGGAUUUACUGGGCGUAAAGGGUGCGUAGGCGGACCUUUAAGUGAGAUGUGAAAUCCCCGAGCUUAACUUGGGGGCUGCAUUUCAAACUGGAGGUCUAGAGUGCAGGAGAGGAGAGUGGAAUUCCUAGUGUAGCGGUGAAAUGCGUAGAGAUUAGGAAGAACACCAGUGGCGAAGGCGACUCUCUGGACUGUAACUGACGCUGAGGCACGAAAGCGUGGGGAGCAAACAGGAUUAGAAACCCCUGUAGUCC